AAUCAACGCUGGCGGCGUGCCUCAGACAUGCAAGUCGAACGAUUAAAGCUCUCUUCGGAGAGUGCAUAGAGUGGCGCACGGGUGAGUAACACGUAAGUAAUCUACCCUCGAGUGGGGAAUAACGUCCGGAAACGGACGCUAAUACCGCAUAAUGCAGCGGCACCGCAAGGUGACAGUUGUUAAAGAUUUAUCGCUUGAGGAGGAGCUUGCGGCAGAUUAGCUAGUUGGUAAGGUAAUGGCUUACCAAGGCUACGAUCUGUAACCGGUCUUAGAGGACGGUCGGUCACACUGACACUGAAUAACGGGUCAGACUCCUACGGGAGGCAGCAGUCGGGAAUUUUGGGCAAUGGGCGAAAGCCUGACCCAGCAACGCCGCGUGAAGGAUGAAGUAUUUCGGUAUGUAAACUUCGAAAGAAUAGGAAGAAUAAAUGACGGUACUAUUUAUAAGGUCCGGCUAACUACGUGCCAGCAGCCGCGGUAAAGUGACGCUCCU
Molecule: ribosomal RNA, 493 nt
Filed under: uncultured bacterium
Lineage: Bacteria
Description: bacterial SSU rRNA
Rfam family: Bacterial small subunit ribosomal RNA
Source: RNAcentral